UACGUAGGGUGCGAGCGUUAAUCGGAAUUACUGGGCGUAAAGCGUGCGCAGGCGGCUUUGCAAGACAGAUGUGAAAUCCCCGGGCUCAACUUGGGAACUGCAUUUGUGACUGCAAGGCUAGAGUACGGCAGAGGGGGAUGGAAUUCCGCGUGUAGCAGUGAAAUGCGUAGAUAUGCGGAGGAACACCAAUGGCGAAGGCAAUCCCCUGGGCCUGUACUGACGCUCAUGCACGAAAGCGUGGGGAGCAAACAGG
RNAcentral lists this ribosomal RNA (253 nucleotides) under uncultured bacterium. Its description in RNAcentral is "partial 16S ribosomal RNA". It matches the Rfam family "Bacterial small subunit ribosomal RNA", at positions 524 to 776 of the family's 1533-position model. The record is from RNAcentral.